GACAGAGGCCCCAAGCGUUAGGCGGAAUCACUGGGCUUAAAGCGUGUGUAGGCGGACGCCUAAGUGUCUUGUGAAAUCCCACGGCUCACCCGUGGAACUGCUGGGCAUACUGGGCGUCUUGGGCCAACUAGGGGCAGCCGGAACAAGCGGUGGAGCGGUGAAAUGCGUAGAUAUCAGGAGGAAUACCGAUGGCGAAGGCAGGUCUCUGGGCUGAUACUGACGCUCAUGCACGAAAGCGUGGGGAGCAACCAGG
Molecule: ribosomal RNA, 253 nt
Filed under: uncultured bacterium
Lineage: Bacteria
Description: partial 16S ribosomal RNA
Rfam family: Bacterial small subunit ribosomal RNA
Source: RNAcentral